This 100-nucleotide non-coding RNA is filed under the name Staphylococcus aureus. RNAcentral's name for it is "SAM-I sequence". It matches the Rfam family "SAM riboswitch aptamer (S box leader)". Rfam says of the family: The SAM riboswitch is found upstream of a number of genes which code for proteins involved in methionine or cysteine biosynthesis in Gram-positive bacteria. The SAM riboswitch acts at the level of transcription termination control. Lineage: Bacteria; Bacillati; Bacillota; Bacilli; Caryophanales; Staphylococcaceae. The record is from RNAcentral.
GAAUUAUCAAGAGAGACUGAGGGAAGGGCCCGAUGAAGUCCAGCAACCUCCCAUAAUGGAAAGGUGCCAAUUCCUACAGUUUGUUACUGGAAGAUAAAAG